UACGGAGGAUCCAAGCGUUAUUCGGAGUGACUGGGCGUAAAGAGUUGCGUAGGGGGUUUGUUAAGCGAAUAGUGAAAUCUUGUGGCUCAACCAUAAGGCUAUUAUUCGAACUGGCAGACUUGAGAAUAUGAGAGGUAGAUGGAAUUUCUAGUGUAGGAGUGAAAUCCGUAGAUAUUAGAAGGAACACCAAUGGCGUAGGCAGUCUACUGGCAUAUUUCUGACCCUGAUGCACGAAAGCGUGGGGAGCGAACCGG
Molecule: ribosomal RNA, 254 nt
Filed under: uncultured bacterium
Lineage: Bacteria
Description: partial 16S ribosomal RNA
Rfam family: Bacterial small subunit ribosomal RNA
Source: RNAcentral